AUUACAGAAGUGAGAAACAAAGACUGUUAUUCAAUUGAGACACUCAUUACAUUAUUUCUAACUUUUCAAGGAAAAACAUAGUUUACGACUUGAGUUUAUCUGCCUAGUAACCUUGCAACUGCACAGCUAGAGAAACAGGAUCUUUGCAAUGCCUGGGAAAGAGAGAGAUAAGACUCACUAGCCACAGAGAGAAAAACAGGCGUUAAUUUUUAAAGGACUCCACCUCUUUUUCUUUCUCAGGGGGAAUUGGAUUUUUUUACAUACAACUGAGUUUUCGCUUACACGUUAUUUAAUUUCUUUUAAUUCCUGUUUCAUCACCAGGCUGGAAUGUAGUGGUGCAAUAACAGCUCACUGUAGCCUCGACCUCCUGGGCUCAAGCCAUCCCUGACCUCACCCUCCCGAGUAGCUGGGACCACAGGCGUGUGCCACCACACUCAGCUAAUUUAUUUAAAACAAUUUUUUUUUAGAGAUGAGUUCUCCCUUUGUUGCCCAGCUGGUCUGAAAUUCCUGGUUUCAAGUGACCCUCACACGUCAGCCUCCUAAAGAGCUGAAGUUAUAAGCAUGAACCAUUGUGUUACAAUGGCCCCCUUGCCGCUCACAAAAACCGCCAACCAGGCCCCCCUCAAGGUCUUGCAUUUGCUGCUCCACUUGCCUGGAAUGCUGCUCCCUCAUCUGUCCACGACUCCCUUCUUCAUUUAUUCAGAAGAGAACAUAAAUGAGGAGGCAAUUCAACUUCAACCAUGUGGAUAAGGACAACACUCAGGUGGAACGGUGUUAUGGGAUGAAUUGUGUCCCCUCUAAAUUCAGAUGUUGAAGUCUUAACCCCAGUACCUCAGAAUGACUGUUUCAGGAGACAUAGUCUUUAAAAAUAAAAUUAAGUUAAAAUGAGGUUAUUAGCAUAGGGUCUAAUCCAACCUUCUAAGAAGAGGAAAUUUGGACAUGGACACAUACAGAGGUAAGACAAUGAGAAGACACAGGGAGAAAAUGGCCAUCUACCUGACAAGGUUGACUCAGCAGAAACAUCCUUAUCAAUCCCCUGAUCCUGGACUUCCAGCCUCCAGAAUUGUAAGAAGUAAAUUUCUGUUUAAACCAUUCUGUCUGUGGUACUUUGUUAUGGCAUUUCUGGAAAACUAAUAUAAACAGUGGGAUAGGAGAAAACAGUAUCCCUGAAUGAAGCAUAGCUGCCUAACUCCAUUGACUGCCUCCCUAAUUCCAGACUUUUAUGGGAAAGAGCCAAAUUAUCUUUUUUUUUGAGACAGAGUCUCACUGUGUUGCCUAGGCUGGAGUGCAGUGGCACGAUCUCGGCUCACUGCAACCUCUGCCUCCCAGGUUCAAGCAAUUCUCCUUCAUCAGCCUCCUGAGUAGCUGGGAUUACAGGAAUGCAUCACCACACCUAGCGAAUUUUUGUAUUUUUAGUAGAGACGGGGUUUCACCACAUUGGCCAGACUGGUCCUGAACUCCUGACCUCAAGUGAUCCACACUCCUCGGUCUCCCAACGUGCUGAGAUUACAGGUGUGAGCCACCACGCCUGGCUAGCCAAAUUAUCUUGAGUCAAUGCAUUUUGGUUCCCCUUUGUUACAGCCCUUCACCUAUACUCAAGUAUAAUACUUAAAAGGAAAAAAUGGAAACAACCUAAGAGUUUAACAAUAGAAAAAGGAUGAACCAAAUAAUGAUAUAUGCACUGAACAUAACCACAAACCAGAACUUCAGCAUGGCAAAUCAGUAAAACAAGUUUAAGUGCAUAAGUCACAUA
Molecule: long non-coding RNA, 1753 nt
Organism: Pan troglodytes (chimpanzee)
Lineage: Eukaryota; Metazoa; Chordata; Mammalia; Primates; Hominidae
Exons: 3
Source: RefSeq, a predicted model, not a curated record